ACCCUGUUGAGCUUGACUCUAGU
This 23-nucleotide non-coding RNA is filed under the name Arabidopsis thaliana (thale cress). RNAcentral also lists the same sequence under 4 other names. The record is from RNAcentral. Lineage: Eukaryota; Viridiplantae; Streptophyta; Magnoliopsida; Brassicales; Brassicaceae.